GCUUUCGUAGCUCAAAUGGUUAGAGCACAGAACUGAAGAUUCUGGGGAGCCUGUUCGAUUCAGACCGAGAGCA
This 73-nucleotide transfer RNA is filed under the name Auricularia auricula-judae (jelly ear fungus). Its description in RNAcentral is "tRNA-Phe". It matches the Rfam family "tRNA". Rfam says of the family: Transfer RNA (tRNA) molecules are approximately 80 nucleotides in length. Their secondary structure includes four short double-helical elements and three loops (D, anti-codon, and T loops). The record is from RNAcentral. Lineage: Eukaryota; Fungi; Basidiomycota; Agaricomycetes; Auriculariales; Auriculariaceae. RNAcentral also lists the same sequence under 1 other name.